RNAcentral lists this ribosomal RNA (588 nucleotides) under Escherichia coli. RNAcentral describes it as "partial 23S ribosomal RNA". It matches the Rfam family "Bacterial large subunit ribosomal RNA", at positions 2211 to 2798 of the family's 2925-position model. The record is from RNAcentral. Lineage: Bacteria; Pseudomonadati; Pseudomonadota; Gammaproteobacteria; Enterobacterales; Enterobacteriaceae.
UGUUUGAUGUUCUAACGUUGACCCGUAAUCCGGGUUGCGGACAGUGUCUGGUGGGUAGUUUGACUGGGGCGGUCUCCUCCUAAAGAGUAACGGAGGAGCACGAAGGUUGGCUAAUCCUGGUCGGACAUCAGGAGGUUAGUGCAAUGGCAUAAGCCAGCUUGACUGCGAGCGUGACGGCGCGAGCAGGUGCGAAAGCAGGUCAUAGUGAUCCGGUGGUUCUGAAUGGAAGGGCCAUCGCUCAACGGAUAAAAGGUACUCCGGGGAUAACAGGCUGAUACCGCCCAAGAGUUCAUAUCGACGGCGGUGUUUGGCACCUCGAUGUCGGCUCAUCACAUCCUGGGGCUGAAGUAGGUCCCAAGGGUAUGGCUGUUCGCCAUUUAAAGUGGUACGCGAGCUGGGUUUAGAACGUCGUGAGACAGUUCGGUCCCUAUCUGCCGUGGGCGCUGGAGAACUGAGGGGGGCUGCUCCUAGUACGAGAGGACCGGAGUGGACGCAUCACUGGUGUUCGGGUUGUCAUGCCAAUGGCACUGCCCGGUAGCUAAAUGCGGAAGAGAUAAGUGCUGAAAGCAUCUAAGCACGAAACUUGCC